GAUGAACGCUGGCGGCGUGCCUAAUACAUGCAAGUCGAGCGAACGGACGAGAAGCUUGCUUCUCUGAUGUUAGCGGCGGACGGGGGAGUAACACGUGGAUAACCUACCUAUAAGACUGGGAUAACUUCGGGAAACCGGAGCUAAUACCGGAUAAUAUUUUGAACCGCAUGGUUCAAAAGUGAAAGACGGUCUUGCUGUCACUUAUAGAUGGAUCCGCGCUGCAUUAGCUAGUUGGUAAGGUAACGGCUUACCAAGGCAACGAUGCAUAGCCGACCUGAGAGGGUGAUCGGCCGCACUAGAACUUCGACACCGUCCAUACUCCUACGGGAGGCGACAGAAGGGAAUCUUCCGCAAUGGGCGAGAGCCUGGCGGAGCAACGCCGCGUGAGUGAUAAAGGUCUUCGGAUCGUGAAACUCUGUUAUUAGGGGAGAACAUAUGUGUAAGUAACUGUGCACAUCUUGACGGUACCUAAUAAGAAAGCCACGGCUAACUACGUG
This 497-nucleotide ribosomal RNA is filed under the name uncultured bacterium. Its description in RNAcentral is "partial 16S ribosomal RNA". It matches the Rfam family "Bacterial small subunit ribosomal RNA", at positions 28 to 507 of the family's 1533-position model. The record is from RNAcentral.